Delphinapterus leucas (beluga whale) is the source of this 3761-nucleotide non-coding RNA. NCBI's taxonomy places the organism in Eukaryota, Metazoa, Chordata, Mammalia, Artiodactyla, Monodontidae. The record is from RefSeq and is a predicted model, not a curated record.
CCUCCGCCAACUAUGGCGGGCGAGCUUGAGGGCGCUAAGCCGCUGAGCGGGUUGCUGAGCGGCCUGGCUCAGGACGCUUUCCAUGGGUACCCGGGCAUCACGGAGGAGCUGCUGCGGAGUCAGCUCUAUCCGGAGGUGCCACCUGAGGAGUUCCGCCCCUUUAUGGCGAAGAUGAAGGGGAUUCUUAAGUCUAUUGCAUCUGCAGACAUGGAUUUCAACCAGCUGGAGGCAUUCUUGACUGCUCAAACCAAAAAGCAAGGCGGGAUCACAUCUGACCAAGCUGCUGUCAUUUCCAAAUUCUGGAAGAGCCAUAAGACAAAAAUCCGAGAGAGCCUCAUGAACCAGAGCCGGUGGGACAGUGGGCUUCGGGGCUUGAGCUGGAGAGUUGAUGGGAAAUCGCAGUCAAGACACUCAGCUCAAAUGCACACUCCUGUUGCCAUAAUGGAGCUGGAAAUAGGGAAAAGUGGACAGAAUGUUACGCCAGAUUCUGAGUCAGUCUUCAGAGCUGGACUUCGGGAUACAGCGUGGCAAGCAAGGAAUCUGAAUUUCUGUGUUUGGAGUUUGAUGAGGUCAAGGUCACCCAAGUCCUGAAGAAGCUCUCGGAGGUAGAAGAAAGUAUCAGCACACUGAUGCAGCCAGCCUAGCUGAAGAUGGAGCUGUUGAAGCAAAGGGAGCUGUUGAAUAAAAAGCCAAGGGAAUUUGAUUCUGAAGUUCCCUGAAGAGCUGGAGAAAUCUCCUCACGGGGGACCUGACCCUGGGAGAAUCAACUUGCAGCCCCUGUGGGAAAGCAGCCGGAGAAUCACUGCUGCAGAGGUGAGACCCAGCUAGUUCCUGUUGACCUGCAUGAGCCCCCGGAGAGAAGUGGUUGCUGCAUAACAGCAGGGCCAUUCUUUGUAGAUGGAACACUACACCUAGUUUUGUACCUGGAAGCUUAGCCAAUUAAUAAGCCACUUAACUGUGGUUUGUUAAGAAGCUGGUUUGGGGAGACGACGAGGGUUUAAACUCUUAUCCUUUCCUUCCAUUUUAUCUUAUCCUUGUCCUGGAAAAGGACUGAAGAUUGCUGGUGACUUGUUCCAUUUCUCACCCUUAUUUUGCCAGGUGCUAAAUCACCCAGUCAGUCAGAAUUAAGUACAUGCUUCCAGCUAAGUUUUUUGAGAGAUUAAAAAUGUUUCAACUGUCAAAAGUAUCACCAUAGUCUUAGGAAAAAUCAGGACUUUUGUAGGAUUUCUGUGCUUUCAUAGUUUUUUUGUUUUUUUCAGUUUUUUUAAAUUAUAAGUACAAAGAAGGGAGGAGACUCAUAAUCUUUUUUCAGGGACUGUUAAGGGUCUUAAUCAGGCCUGAUAUCCCACAAAGUUUCCAGGGUGCCCUGUGGGAGGAGUAUAGGGCUGCCCAAGAGGCCGAGGCCACUGGAAGAGGGAUUGAUUAUAUUUCAGGGUUAAGAGGGUACCUCCCAUUCCGGGAGCUCAGAACAUGGACCUUGGCCUUUUGGGUGGAAGUGUAUGGACAUUUCUGUCUUCAAGGAGCUGUUUUGGUUUGCUUUUAACUUUAUGCAAAUAAUACAUGGAUACAUUGUCCUUGAGAAGCAUUUAAACCUUAUAAUUAAGGCUAAAGUCCUCUAUGACCAAUACCCUCCAUCCUGGCUUCUUCCUCUUCUUCCUCAGCAAUAACCUCUGUGAUCACUUUGAGUGUAUCUCCUUCCAUGGUUUUUUUAUGAUUUUUACCUACCUGCAUAUAUGGCCAUAUUUACAGUACUGUUUUAUGUAUUCCUGUAACACAAGUGCAAUCACACUGUAUGUAUUAUCCUGCAAAUUGCUUUUUUCCCUCAACAGCAUGUUUUGGAACUUUUCUAAAUUAGUACUACAGAGACCAACAACCCACCAAACUGACAUAGAGAAUAUUUCAAAGUGGAAGCAUCUGAACUACAGAAGAUGCUGAAAGAAAUCUCAUUAGAACUUCCCUUAUCUGAUCAGAACAGAGCUCUACUAGAGCCAGCUGCUAGCACUCUCCCCCCAUCACCCUUACGGCUCAAAUUAGGGAGGCUGACCUUGGGCACCGGGACAUCCCCCCAAAAUUGUGUAAACACAUCUCACCAGAACCUUCCAUCCUUUGAAGCCCAAAGCCCGUCCCCUCCUAUUAACCUGGUAUAUAAACCUUUACUCCUAACUAUUCUGGGAGCUACUCUAGAGUAGUACAGGGAGUACUAUGGGGUGGUCCUGCAUUCAUAAUAUUAAUACAUUUUUCUCCUGUUAAUUUGUGUGUUGUCAGUUCAUGUGCAUCGCACUCCCCUCAGUCAGACCUAAGUUGGUAGAGAAGUUUUUCCUCCCAAAAGUUUAUAUAAAUUUACCUCACUAAUUUCAACUGCUGCAUAGUAUUACAGAGAGACAAUAGGUUUGGGUUUUGUUUUUCUUUAAUUCCCUAUCAAUGGAUUUUUAGGUUGUUUCCAGUUUUUCCCCAUGGCAAACAAUACUGCAGUGAAUAUACUUGCACAUGCCUCCCAAUAUACAUGUGCAAAUAUAUCUUAGAAAACAGGAAUUGCUAUAUCAUGGGUUAUACGCUUUUUAGAUUCUAGACACUGGCAAAUAGACUGGAGUACAAUAAAUGUUUAACAGCCAGUCUCCCAUAAAAGGAGGUAGGGGCUAAUUUGUAGCAUUUGUCCUAUUUCCAUUGUGUGAGUUCUCCCACCAUGGCCAAUUUCAAACUACUAAUAUUCAUUACUGAACUUGGAUUUGGGACGAGUUAUAUACACUGUUAGCUCUUGCAAGCUGGUAUGAACUGACUCCAGCACAGUUCGAGAAUUCCUCAAACUCAGGAUGCAGACAGAUACCGGCAAAUAGCCCUCCGAAGUAGCCCAACCAGCUUGUACUUUUGCAAGCAGUGUACGAACCUGUCUUGAUAAUAUUACAGUUUUUUGCAAAUAUGAGUCAAAAAAUGAUACCUCAUUUUGCCUUGCAUAUUCCCAGUCAUCAAUGAGGUUGAGCAUCUUUUCACAUUUUAUCAGUAUUUCCUGCUCUGUGAAAUGGUCCAUAUCCUUUGCCUGUUUGUUUUUUCUUGUUGUUGUUUUACUUAUUCAUCUUUUUCUUACUGAUGUGUUGGAGCCCUUGAUGUAGUCUGAAAAUAUAUUGUCCUUCAAGUAGUUUUCAAUCUAUUUUAGAGAAUAAAAUUGUAGAGGAAUAUUCCCAAAUUCUAUUGAGUACCUACUAUAUGAACAUACCCAUCAAGGACUGGGACUGAGAAAAGUACACAUGGUGUACAUCAAAUUCUGUGUGUACUUGUGUACCAUUGUGGUAGGGUCAGUUGAACACACAUGUGCAUACCACUAGUACUAAUAACAAGUAAUUACUGUGAAAAAUACAUAAAUUGUAUUUUGGCUCAGUCAGGCUAUUUGUUGUAUUUUUCAUAAGCAUAUUAUUGAUCAUUUCUCUUGGGGACACUUAGGUCACUGGACUUUUUUCCGAAGGAAUAUAUAUACCAGCACUUCUUAUUCACACUGAAGUCUCUUGUGAGUCUUCCUGUGAGGUCUCAUCCUCAUCUUUUCACUGUUGGCCCUGAUCUGAAAAGGUGCAGUGCUUUUCUUUCCAGGCUGUUCUUCCCUGAAAAUGACUGGCUGCCCCAGCAGCUUGCUGUCUUCUGGGAUGAAUUAAGAACUACAGUUUUGCCCGGGAGGAACCAAGAUGGCGGAGUAGAAGGACGUGCUCUCACUCCCUCUUGUGAGAACACCAGAAUCACAACUAGCUGCUGGACAAUCAUCGACAGGAAGACAC